UAAACACUGGAACGGCCGGUUUUCACAAACUGACUUUUAAUCAAGUUGUCGGGGGUUCGAAUCCCCCGUGCUUCA
This 75-nucleotide transfer RNA is filed under the name Caudoviricetes sp. RNAcentral's name for it is "tRNA-Lys". The record is from RNAcentral. Lineage: Duplodnaviria; Heunggongvirae; Uroviricota; Caudoviricetes.